Molecule: long non-coding RNA, 1102 nt
Filed under: Dermacentor andersoni
Lineage: Eukaryota; Metazoa; Arthropoda; Arachnida; Ixodida; Ixodidae
Description: uncharacterized LOC126535766
Source: RNAcentral
GAUUGUUGUUAGGAAAAAACACGUAAUUUUCUCAUUUACGAUACAUUUUUCUAAAAACCGUAGAGUGGCGCCACUGCAGUAUUUGUUUGGUCGACAUACCACGUUGGUUGUAGUGAAUGCACCUUGCAGUAAGGCGGUAUUUGAGUUAUAUUUUAGAAGUGCCUAGACAAAAUCUGCUCCUUGUCGUGUGCAGUAACCAUCGCAAACCCUCCGGACUUGUGUAACGCCGUUAGUUCGCCGUGUGUUUCGUGCGAUCUACCAGUGUCGACAGUGAGUGUCUUACUACAGCGCCCGUCCGAGCUGCCUUUGUUCUGCCGAGCUGCCUGCCCGCGCUCUCGUGAAAAGUCUGGUACUGGAGCUUCGAAUCGUAGUGUAUGGAAGACUGUUGAAGGUUGUGCUUUUGUGGAGCUGGAGUUCAUCGGAAGUUCUACAGUGCUUGCGCCAGAAAAACGUCGGUGCCUCGGUACCUUUGAGACGAAGGAGCGUUGGCCAAGUCUUUUUGAAAGGCUAUGCGGAUUCUGGAGGCAUCCCUACAUCAAGCAGGAACCUGCUGCUCUGCUGGAAGCUGGACAGCACGACAAUAAAGCACGUGAUCUGUGUGCUUUCUCAAAGGUAGACAUCGGCGACGGUGUAUAUGUUGAAAAGUGCCUGCUGAAGAGGCUGCGCCUGGAUGCUAACAACUCAGGCUUUCAGUUCGCGGGGGGCCUCCUUAAGGCUCCUUUUACAAAAGAAGAGGUUGAAGGGAGGCGCUACACAUGGAUGCGCAGCGAUUGUUUGUGACAUCGUCACUGCUGGCAGGCCUGGCCUGCCUUUUCGCUUCGUUCUGGGUCUUCCACGUUAUCUACUCGAAAACGCCCACAGGGUUUUGACAUUUAUUGAGCACUGCUUUCUGGAUUUGAGCUACACAAAGCUGCAGGUGAAAGCAUUGGAUUUAGUCAAUAUUUACUAGAACUAUUGCUAGGCAAAAAAAUUUUCAGAUGCAUAUCCUCAAGAAAGUUUCUGUAAAAAUUAUUUUGCCUAACAAAAGCACUCGUGGGUUCUGUGGCUGGCAGCUUGCCCAAGCCAUGUAGCACAGUGCUUGCUUUAAAGGGACACGAAAGGG